This 433-nucleotide ribosomal RNA is filed under the name uncultured bacterium. Its description in RNAcentral is "partial 16S ribosomal RNA". It matches the Rfam family "Bacterial small subunit ribosomal RNA", at positions 29 to 507 of the family's 1533-position model. The record is from RNAcentral.
AACGAACGCUGGAGGCAUGCAUAACACAUGCAAGUCGAACGAGACCUUAGGGUCUAAUAGAGCAAGAGUGCGUAACGCGUGGGAACCUGCACUUAGGUUCGGAAUAACUCCCCGAAAGGGGUGCUAAUACCGGAUAAUGUCUUCGGACCAAAGAUUUAUCGCCUUUGGAUGGGCCCGCGUUGGAUUAGCUAGUUGGUAGGGUAAAAGCCUACCAAGGCGACGAUCCAUAGCUGGUCUGAGAGGAUGAUCAGCCACACUGGGACUGAGACACGGCCCAGACUCCUACGGGAGGCAGCAGUGGGGAAUAUUGGACAAUGGGCGAAAGCCUGAUCCAGCAAUGCCGCGUGAGUGAUGAAGGCCUUAGGGUUGUAAAGCUCUUUUACCCGGGAUGAUAAUGACAGUACCGGGAGAAUAAGCUCCGGCUAACUCCGUG